This 4565-nucleotide unclassified non-coding RNA is filed under the name Hevea brasiliensis (rubber tree). The record is from RNAcentral. Lineage: Eukaryota; Viridiplantae; Streptophyta; Magnoliopsida; Malpighiales; Euphorbiaceae.
CCUUUAGAAGAUCAAAAACUUUCUCACAAGUGUAUUUCUGUUGUAUGCUUGCACCCCUUUGUUGCAAUUUAUCAGGAUGAACAAAAAGAGUGGCUUUGCGGUAAGCUUUCUUCACAGCUGCAGCUGAUAUAAGAUCUGUCAGAGGAAUUGGCUGCCAACCGCUAUCAGGGCCCAAAAUGUAUUGUAGUGUUGAGAGCAGGGCACGCAAAUUCUUCUCCUUUCCACUGGACCAUCCUUUAACACCAGCAUCCAAAGUUUCUGCUAAUCUAUUUCUCUCAGCUUGUUCUUUCUGAGCGAGAAGAUCACGCAUAUUCUUCUCCGCAAGAGCUUUUGCCGCUCGUUCCGCUGUCCUUUGAUUCCUUGCUAAUGUAGCUUUACACCUUUCAGCUGAUUCACCAUUAGCACUGCUAAAUCUCUCAUCAUGAUUUGAAGUACUUGGAUAAUUAGAACUGUUGGAAGGACCCGGACCUUUAUAUUGUUGAUCCCUGGAUUUUAUUCCAGCAUCUCUUGAAGUGCCAGAAUACUUCUCAGCUUGAUUUCUGGCCUUAAAGGAAGCUUUCUCAGACAAUGCCUUUUCCAGGGCACGUUUCCUGGCCUCUGCAGUUGCUCUCUCAACAGCAGCCCUCUCUGCCUUUAGUUUGGCUUCCAUAGAUGCUUUCUCUGCUGCUGACUUACCAUUACCCUCUGCACAAGCCUUCUCUAAGCUUUCUCGGGCCUCUGCCAUUACUCUUUGGUGAGCUCCUGCAGCCGCUCUUUCUGCAGCAGCCUUUUCUGCCCUUUCUCGAGCUUCAGCAAAAGCCCUUUCACGAGCUUCUCGGAUUGCUCUUUCUACAGCUAUCCUCUCCUUUUCCUUUUCCAUUUCCCUCACUUUUGCUUCUUCCUUUCUCCCAUGAUGUUUCUUUUCCAACUCCACUUCCUUUUGCAAAUUAUCUUCAGCUUCCCUCUUUUCUCCUGUCAGAGUUUCAUCAUUCUUCUCCUUUUUAUCAGUGUUUUGGUUUGCUCUCUCCUGUGAUACUCCCAUCAUCGUUCUUUCCCCCUCAAAAAUAUUUGGCUGCUGACUUGCUUGCACGUCAAUCAUAUUAUUUAUCCAGUUUUCCUCAGAAGAAGAUUCAAAAUAUGUCUCUUCACCAUGAUUAGUAGGAACUUCAGAGUCCUUCACAUCCUUGUUAUUUUCUCCCAAUUCACAGUCUGCUUCUUUGAAAUGCUUUACUGAGUCUGGCUUGGAAUCUAUCCCAUUAACUGACCAUCUUUCCUCAUGAGAAGAUACAAAAUUACUCUCAUUUUCUUCAUAAAUGCGGCCAAUUUCAGACUCACUGUCAUCCUUAUCAUUUUCAUCCAAUUGAAAAGUUACUUCUUCAGUAUUCUUUUCCAGUUCACAGAUUCUCUCAUACUCUGCCACAGGAAAUUCAUUUAGCUUGUGAUCAAGGUUCACAUCAGUUUCACCUAAAUACACAUCUGUCGUUUGCUUAAUAAUCACAUCAAAACCAGUGAGACCUUGCUCUGGAUCACCAGUUCCAAAGUUCUCUUCUUCCACCAGGUCAUUUGCCUCUUCAGCUGCUUCUGAACCUUUUCCGGUCUCCUUAGGAAAGGAAUCUUCACUCAUGUCCAUCAUCUUCCUAUUCUUUUCAAGUGCAAAUAUCUCUGCAGUUACUUUCACAUGUUCAAAUCUUUCUUGAUCCCCAUAGUCAUUGGCUUCAUCAGCUUUGCCUGCAUUCUCAUUUUCAUCUAGCUCGUACACAUCAUUAUUUGCUUCAAGAUUGUUCUCCUGGUAUCUAAAAGCCUGUUGAGUUGCUUCUAAAUUGCUCUCAUCUUCUGCGCUCCGAUGAAUCUGUGGCUGUAUGCUCUCAGUUUCAAACACUUCACAAGUCCUUUCUUUAGCUGAUUCGUUCAUCAGAGAAUCCUCUUUGAGCAUCUCCUCAUCCUGUUUGGUCUCUUUCAGGUUCUCAGUGCCUGUUGUUCCACAAUCCUCUCCAAGCAUCUUCUCACUUCCAUCCUUGUCACAAACUUGAACAAACUUCUCAGCAUCCUCUGUCUUGGCAACACCUAGUUUCUUCUCAUUUUCUUCCCAAAAUGGAGCCUCUUGUUGUUUCAUUUCACUUCUUACCCUCUCCAAAUCUUCUUCCUGUCCCUUCUCAUUUUCUCUAUAGCUAUGAAUUUCAUCUACUCUACUCUCAUUCUCCUGUCUCACCGGAACUUCAUUUGAUCGGCUCUCCAUUUCCUCUUGAUUGUGUGCCUCUCUUUGUUUCUUCUCAAUUUUCAUCCAAUUCUGAGCCUCUUUUAGUUCCUUCAUAUCUUUAUUCUCAUCCAAAUCUUGGAUUUCAAAUUCUGGAUUUUCUUCUGGUUCAUGCAGCUUUUUCACUGUGCUCUCAAUUUCUUCUUGUUCACAGGGCACUCUAGGACUAGGAGUUAGAUCAGCUUCUUCAUGCUCAUAAACAACCCUGAUUUUCUCUUCAUUUUCUAUGUGACGAUCAAGCUCUUCAGUUGACUUGAUAUUGUUUCUGUACACAUUCCAUUCAUAUGCUGCUUCCACUGAAUGUAGUUCCCUCUUUAUCUUCUCCUGCUUAGGGGCCUUCUCAUUAUUAUCACACUCCACUGGCUUCUCAAUGUUUUCCUCUCCUGUCAUCUUCUCCUUGCAUUUAUUUUCAUUAGCAGAUGGAUUCAUUUUCUUGUCAUUGUUUGCCUGCUCAACCUCCAAUGUCAUUGCCCUGUGUUCACUGGUAUCAUCAGGUUUAUUUGCUUUCCUGCUUUCUGCUUCCACCCUAUUAUCCACUUGAGCCAAUUUGGAUUCUGUGCUGUUUGUUUCUCCAACAGCAUUUUUCGUAGGAGAUGAUGUCUUUGCAUUUCCAAAUUCUGAGGUUACAUGGCUUGCUUCUGUUGCAUUGUGCUCUGGUAAGCUGGUGAAAUCUUGCUUUGGAGUAUAAAAUUUCUGAACCAUUUCCUUGGCCUCCUCUAUGGAUCUAUUUUCUUUUUCUGCAACUUUAACCUCCCUUUUUUUAUCUUUCAAGCCAUCAUUAAAUCUUGGUCUCACACGAUUUUGAAGACGGACCUUUCUUUCCAUCAAUUCUUUGGCUAUUUUAAUCUUUGCUUGAGCCUCCUCUAUCGCCUUCCUCACAGCAGCUACAGAGGCAGCUGCAGCCGAAUUAGCAUCUAUUUCCUCAUCAAAUAAAGGUGGUGAAUAACUACCAGUAGCACCUUCAGAAGCAUCAUUACUAAAAACCCCAAACUUCGAAUUCAUUGACCUCAUGGAGCCAUCCCUAUUUUUACCUAAAUUAGGAAACGGGCCUAGAGGUGACACUGUUGAUGGCUGUGUGCCAAGGCCAAUUUCAAAUGCAUCAAAUGAUAUAUCAUUUGAAAAGGAUCUAUUCCUGCUGGAUUUUGUAAAGUUGGCAUGAUUUUUAGAAUUGUUUUUAGCAGAAUCUCUGGGUUGUGGGCCUGACACAACUUUCCGGAGAGGUUUGCUUUGCCUUAUCCCCUCACUGACAUUAACAUUUAGAUAAGCAUCAUUUAAUACUGUGCGUACUCGCUUGUCACCUUCAGUCAUCUGCGAGGGAGUGAUUUCAUCUAUCAAACAAGUAUAACCAGGAAUGGUGUUGAGCUGAGCAAUAUGUGUCAUUCUAUUUGUCCCAGUUUUGCUUUCUGGGUUGCUUUUAUCAUAUGAAAGGUUGAUUUGUUUCCCACCAUCAAGUGAUUGGAAAGAUACUUCAGCUGAUGGAGCUUUCUUCUGUUCUGAAACAUUAAAAUGCUCUGGUCCUGCUGGGCAGAACUUUGCUUUAGCUGCAGCCCGAGCUUCCUGAGACGAAUUCUUCACUUUCUUUGGUUUUGAAAACAAUUGCUCAUAGGGCACAGCAAAAUCUGUCUCUGCAAAACCACCAAAAAUCCUCGAGUAGUCUGGCUUCGAACUCCGCGCGUCCACAGAAGCCUUUCUGUCCUUCAGCUCCGGGAAAUCGAGAACCGGAAUGGAACAAGCACUAGAGCCACCAAAUAUCUCUCUGUAAUCCUCCAUUCGAGACCCAGGCUUGGACACACAACCAAAAAUGCCGUCGUACACGUGCUUUCCAGCUAAGACUCCACCGUUAGGGAGCUUAUUGGAGAAAGCUGUAGCAGAGGAAGAUUGGUGAUACUCCAUUAAGGAGGGAACAAAGAGAGAUUAUUUAGGGUUUACGCGAUUGGUUUUUCCUUCUCUUCUUUCUCCUUCCCUAUGUCUGGUUUUUCUCUGCGUAGGAAAAAAAAAAUUGCAGAGUCAGACACGAUAGAGAGAAAGAAAGAAGAGAAACACGGACAAAAUAAUACCGAGAAAAUGGAAGACGAGAAAUUGAAAUUAAAAAUGCCAGUGCAGCCAGAGACUAGUGUUGAAUCAGCGAUUUUUAAGUUGACGAUCAAUGGAGGCAAAAAGAUCGGCCGUUGGCUGCGAUUGGCGGGUCACUGGCAGAGCCGGUGAGUGACAAAAUCGAAAAUCGAAGAUAGUAAUUGGCUUGCUGAUUAGCGUCAAGCUGUCAGCAAUCAGCGAUACCAACAUAGGGGUAGUUUCGGCAUUAUGCAAAAUAGUAUAGGGGUUUCCGGGAAGU